This 585-nucleotide ribosomal RNA is filed under the name Triticum aestivum (bread wheat). Its description in RNAcentral is "partial small subunit ribosomal RNA". Lineage: Eukaryota; Viridiplantae; Streptophyta; Magnoliopsida; Poales; Poaceae. The record is from RNAcentral.
AUGGACGCACGGAUGAGGCCGAUAAUCCAGGCAGCAGCAUUGAUUAGUGUGAUUCAGGCAUGGGUCAUGUUCAUGCACCAGAGAGUUGUUCGUCGUGCUGGGAGACCUUUGAUCCGCUAUGGUCCAUUGUUUCCCCGGGAACAGGAGAGGAUCCAAAAUCUGAACUACAUCUACAACUGCAAUGACGUCGAGGCUCUGUGGAUACUUAGAAUGAAAAGAGCAUCAUUUGCCAGGCUUGUCGAGACAUUCAGGAGCAGGGGGUUGUUACAAGAUAGCAUCAACACCAGUGUCCAAGAGCAAGUGGCCAUGUUCCUCCAUGUUGUUGGCCAUAACCAGAGGUUCUGGGUCAUUCCCAACACGUUCAGGAGAUCAAUAGAGACCAUCUCUAGGUACUUCAAGCAGGUGCUUUAUGCUGUCGGGGAGUUUGGAGGAGAGAUGAUCAGGAGACCAUCUGGCCAGACUCCACCCAAGAUUCGCGGAAGCCCAAGAUGGUAUACAUACUUCAAGGUGAGCAUUGACAAUAUACACUUUUCAUGGCUUGAUAUGCUUGUAUUGUUCAAGUUGAGCACUAACACAGACUUGUGA